RNAcentral lists this ribosomal RNA (1554 nucleotides) under Staphylococcus aureus. Its description in RNAcentral is "16S ribosomal RNA". It matches the Rfam family "Bacterial small subunit ribosomal RNA". Lineage: Bacteria; Bacillati; Bacillota; Bacilli; Caryophanales; Staphylococcaceae. The record is from RNAcentral.
UUUAUGGAGAGUUUGAUCCUGGCUCAGGAUGAACGCUGGCGGCGUGCCUAAUACAUGCAAGUCGAGCGAACGGACGAGAAGCUUGCUUCUCUGAUGUUAGCGGCGGACGGGUGAGUAACACGUGGAUAACCUACCUAUAAGACUGGGAUAACUUCGGGAAACCGGAGCUAAUACCGGAUAAUAUUUUGAUCUGCAUGGUUCAAAAGUAAAAGACGGUCUUGCUGUCACUUAUAGAUGGAUCCGCGCUGCAUUAGCUAGUUGGUAAGGUAACGGCUUACCAAGGCAACGAUGCAUAGCCGACCUGAGAGGGUGAUCGGCCACACUGGAACUGAGACACGGUCCAGACUCCUACGGGAGGCAGCAGUAGGGAAUCUUCCGCAAUGGGCGAAAGCCUGACGGAGCAACGCCGCGUGAGUGAUGAAGGUCUUCGGAUCGUAAAACUCUGUUAUUAGGGAAGAACAUAUGUGUAAGUAACUGUGCACAUCUUGACGGUACCUAAUCAGAAAGCCACGGCUAACUACGUGCCAGCAGCCGCGGUAAUACGUAGGUGGCAAGCGUUAUCCGGAAUUAUUGGGCGUAAAGCGCGCGUAGGCGGUUUUUUAAGUCUGAUGUGAAAGCCCACGGCUCAACCGUGGAGGGUCAUUGGAAACUGGAAAACUUGAGUGCAGAAGAGGAAAGUGGAAUUCCAUGUGUAGCGGUGAAAUGCGCAGAGAUAUGGAGGAACACCAGUGGCGAAGGCGACUUUCUGGUCUGUAACUGACGCUGAUGUGCGAAAGCGUGGGGAUCAAACAGGAUUAGAUACCCUGGUAGUCCACGCCGUAAACGAUGAGUGCUAAGUGUUAGGGGGUUUCCGCCCCUUAGUGCUGCAGCUAACGCAUUAAGCACUCCGCCUGGGGAGUACGACCGCAAGGUUGAAACUCAAAGGAAUUGACGGGGACCCGCACAAGCGGUGGAGCAUGUGGUUUAAUUCGAAGCAACGCGAAGAACCUUACCAAAUCUUGACAUCCUUUGACAACUCUAGAGAUAGAGCCUUCCCCUUCGGGGGACAAAGUGACAGGUGGUGCAUGGUUGUCGUCAGCUCGUGUCGUGAGAUGUUGGGUUAAGUCCCGCAACGAGCGCAACCCUUAAGCUUAGUUGCCAUCAUUAAGUUGGGCACUCUAAGUUGACUGCCGGUGACAAACCGGAGGAAGGUGGGGAUGACGUCAAAUCAUCAUGCCCCUUAUGAUUUGGGCUACACACGUGCUACAAUGGACAAUACAAAGGGCAGCGAAACCGCGAGGUCAAGCAAAUCCCAUAAAGUUGUUCUCAGUUCGGAUUGUAGUCUGCAACUCGACUACAUGAAGCUGGAAUCGCUAGUAAUCGUAGAUCAGCAUGCUACGGUGAAUACGUUCCCGGGUCUUGUACACACCGCCCGUCACACCACGAGAGUUUGUAACACCCGAAGCCGGUGGAGUAACCUUUUAGGAGCUAGCCGUCGAAGGUGGGACAAAUGAUUGGGGUGAAGUCGUAACAAGGUAGCCGUAUCGGAAGGUGCGGCUGGAUCACCUCCUUUCU